This 321-nucleotide unclassified non-coding RNA is filed under the name fungal sp. Its description in RNAcentral is "partial internal transcribed spacer region". The stretch from base 1 to 46 matches the Rfam family "Eukaryotic small subunit ribosomal RNA", at positions 1786 to 1831 of the family's 1831-position model. Lineage: Eukaryota; Fungi. The record is from RNAcentral.
AAGUCGUAACAAGGUAUCCGUAGGUGAACCUGCGGAUGGAUCAUUAUCAACGUUAUCCACGUAUAAACCAAUCUAAUGCGAACCGUUUGUAUGCCUUUCGGACACUCGAACCGUUGAAGCGAUUUGACACAGUAGAGGAGAUGAAAGCGUAUAAUUACUUCAAUCUAUAUUAACCAAUCGAACCAUUUCUAACGAAAUUGUUUUUAUUUUUCUUUGUGUGAACUGAAUUGUUUCUUACUCUCUCGAAAGGGCAGAGAAGAAAUCUAUUUACGAAACUAAAAGUAAAAAGAACAACUCUUAGCAACGGAUAUCUUGGUUCUC